This 253-nucleotide ribosomal RNA is filed under the name uncultured bacterium. RNAcentral's name for it is "partial 16S ribosomal RNA". It matches the Rfam family "Bacterial small subunit ribosomal RNA", at positions 524 to 776 of the family's 1533-position model. The record is from RNAcentral.
GACGAAGGAUGCAAGCGUUAUCCGGAUUCAUUGGGUUUAAAGGGAGCGUAGGUAGUCUUAUAAGUCAGUGGUGAAAUCUCUCAGCUUAACUGAGAAAUUGCCAUUGAUACUGUAGGACUUGAGUAUAGUUGCCGUCGGCGGAAUAUGACAUGUAGUGGUGAAAUACAUAGAGAUGUCAUAGAACACCGAUUGCGAAGGCAGCUGACGAAACUAUAACUGACACUGAGGCACGAAAGUGCGGGGAUCAAACAGG